GACGGCUCAGUAACACGUGGCUAACCUACCCUCGGGUGGGGGAUAACCUCGGGAAACUGAGGAUAAUACCCCAUAGGAGAAGAGGUCUGGAAUGAUCCUUCUCUGAAAACAUAUGUGCCCGAGGAUGGGGCUGCGUCUGAUUAGGUAGUUGGUGGGGUAACGGCCCACCAAGCCUACGAUCAGUACGAGCCUUGAGAGAGGCAGCCCGGAGAUGGGGACUGAGACACGGCCCCAGGCCCUACGGGGCGCAGCAGGCGCGAAACCUCCACAAUGCACGAAAGUGCGACGGGGGGACCCCAAGUGCUUACGCACUGCGUAGGCUUUUCUAAAGUGUAAAAAGCUUUAGGAAUAAGGGCUGGGCAAGUCCGGUGCCAGCAGCCGCGGUAACACCGGCGGCCCGAGUGGUGACCACUUUUAUUGGGCCUAAAGCGUCCGUAGCCGGUCCAGUAAGUCCCUGUUUAAAUCCUACGGCUUAACCGUAGGGCUGGCAGGGAUACUGCUGGACUUGGGACCGGGAGAGGGCGAGGGUACUUCAGGGGUAGCGGUGAAAUGUGUUGAUCCCUGGAGGACCACCUAUGGCGAAGGCACUCGCCUGGAACG
This 600-nucleotide ribosomal RNA is filed under the name uncultured archaeon. RNAcentral's name for it is "bacterial SSU rRNA". It matches the Rfam family "Archaeal small subunit ribosomal RNA", at positions 83 to 687 of the family's 1478-position model. The record is from RNAcentral.